GGAACACUCGGCGAAUGGUUCUUUCUCUUACCCUCGCUUCAACAAGUGGAUUUGGCUAAUAACAACCUGACACGUGUCGAGAUCCCCAAGCCCGGCCUCGCCGGCGGAGACCUGGUGGCGGUGGAGCUGGGGUACAACAAGAUCGACGGCUACGCGCCUGUAACCUUCGCCGAAUACCCUUCGCUGUCGUCUUUAUCGAUGAGGUACAACCGAUUGCGUGGCAGGAUCCCAUUGGAGUACAGCCGGAGCAAGUCGUUAAGGAGGCUGUUCUUGGACGGAAACUUCCUGAUAGGCAGACCGCCGGCGAGACUCAUAGCCAGUGACUCGCAGGUUGCCGGUAGCUUGGGAGAUAAUUGUCUGCAGGGAUGUCCAGGGAAUGCUAACAUGUGCUCUCCUUCCCAAAAACCCAAUUCGAUUUGCAAGCAGGCUUAUGGAGGAAAACUCAGGUC
Molecule: long non-coding RNA, 449 nt
Filed under: Carica papaya (papaya)
Lineage: Eukaryota; Viridiplantae; Streptophyta; Magnoliopsida; Brassicales; Caricaceae
Description: long non-coding RNA (CPAP_LNC006598)
Source: RNAcentral